Long non-coding RNA from Struthio camelus australis, 1882 nucleotides. Lineage: Eukaryota; Metazoa; Chordata; Aves; Struthioniformes; Struthionidae. The record is from Ensembl.
AUGUUCUGCAAAGGGGACUUUGCAUCAAUUAUUUUAAGCCUUCCAAAAAGGAGCAUGUGCAAGUUUCCCACAUCCGUUUUUGUGACUGCGAAGACCCCGACUUCAUCCCUGUGGAAUUGUAACAGUGAGGCCUUGACCCUCUGCUGGGAUAUGAUAGCUCUGAUGUCUGUAUACAUGUAUUCACAAUUCAUAAGAUGCUAUUUUCUUGCAGAGAGAGAGCGAGAGCGAGAGCGAGAGCUUACAUCUGAAUGUCCAAACCAUGACCUUACCCAAAGAUCCAAGAGUGGCAGAUUUUGCAGAGCAAGGAGCAAUGGAUUCCUCUUUCCGUGUUGGCUUUGGCUGGAGGUUUUACACAAUUCCACAUCUGCAGCCUGAACCAUCGCUGCCUCUGUGCUGGCACUCCUGGGACUGCUGUGGAAUACAAGUCACUGGCAGGUGUGAAAUACAGCCCUUCAUUUUGGGGUCUGAAGGAUGGACUCAGUAUUUUAUGAUGUCUUGGGCCUGAGAGUGGGCUAUAAGAUCUGCUGAUGUUCCUGCUUGUCAUAUUUUCUAUUUUUUGUGCAUGCUUUCUUUGUAUCUUGUUUCUCCUCCCACAAGGACUCUGAAAACCUUUUUGUCUUUUUCUUUUGAAUAUUCCUAUAAAGGUGGGGAGCCAUUUUGGAGUCCUUUUGUUUUCUACCCAUAACUUUUUUCCCUUGAGCUUCUUAGUGUCAGGAAAGGUACUAUGACAAUCUGUACCUGUCACUAAGGCAUAGUCACGUUUUUCUUUUAUUUGAUUUCUGCUAUAUCAUUUUUGGGAUGAGAUCACAAACCUGCAUAUACUGUUGAAAGGGAGGAUGCACCAGUGGUUUAGAUAUUAGCAUUAUAAAUUCAAUAAUAUUACAAAUUUCCUUCUUAUUACAUCUUAAUGUCUUAUCAUGAUUUUUAUAUACUGGCUGCACAUUGAACAAAUGUCUCUAUUCAGUUCUUCUUGAUGACUCCUUGAUUUUCUUUUCCCUGAGAUCUUAUAACUAAUUCAGAAGUUAUCAGUGCAUAGGAGGAGUUUAAAUUGUUCUUUCCAAUGUGCACUACCUUGCAAUGUUCUACAUUCAGUUUAAUCUGGUCAUCAUGUCAUCCAGUUGCUUUGUUAUAAUAGGUCCUUGUGGAGCUCUUCAGAACUGUUUAUCCUGUUGCCUUUUCUGUCAACAUAAUAACACAGAACACUUUAACAGGAGUUAGGAGAUCAAUAUGUUACCCUAAUGGAAAAGUUUUAUUCAAGCUAAUAGAAAUACAAACAGUAGGCCUCCACAUAAAUUAUUAUUAAAAACACGUUUCUGUUUUUAAAAAUGAUGUUUUUGUUCUGGGUUUUUAAAUUAUGCCUAACAUAACCAUUUAUUUUGGAUGAAAUGUAGUUGACAGUUCAAAAGAAUAAGAUACCAUGGAAAGUUUAUGUUUUCCUGUGGCAUUGUAUAGGUCUCUUCCAUAAGACUAUAGUCACAAUCAACAUUAAAAUAUAUUAAUCAGUUUGAAUAACAAAAUGUACCUUCCUUGAGAAAAUCAAGAAAAAAAGUUUGUAAAUUUUAGAAAGGCCCUAUUAAAGAGACCAAUAGAUUAAAAAGAACCCUUGAAGAUGACAGUAUUGAACGAUUCAUGGCUUGGCAGAUGUUCUCUUAAUCAUCAGUCAUGAACGGUAUAUGUGUACCCUUUUAUCUGAAAUAUCUUCACUACCGUAUCGGGUCCCUUAUUGCUCUAGGUUUUUGAUGGUUUUCUAGCUUUGGCUAGAAAUGUUGACUUUUAAAAUUUUGACUUACUUGCAUUUAUUGUCAAUGCUUCUGCUCUCACUAAGCUUUUAAUUAAUGAUACAACAAAUGUUCUGUUUUGAACCUCUGAAUAAAACUUUUUU